GCAAAGGUAGCAUAAUCAUUCGCCCUUUAAUUGUGGGCUAGUAUGAAUGGAUAAACAAGAAUUUAGCUGUCUCAUAUAUAAAUCUAAAAACUAUUUUUCAGGCGAAUAAACCUGAUUUUACCUACAGGACAAGAAGACCCUAUCGAGCUUUAUUACCCUAAAACAAAAAUAUUAUUUUCUAAAUAUAACCAUUUUUAAGUAAUUUCGUUGGGGCGACGAAGGAAUCUAUUAAACCUCCUUUAAUUUAUAGAUUUAUAAAUCAAAAAAUUGACCCAAUAUCACUGAUCAAAAAACAAAGCUACCGUAGGGAUAACAGGCUAAUUUUUCUCCAGAGCUCAAAUUUACAGAAAAGAUUGGCAC
RNAcentral lists this ribosomal RNA (360 nucleotides) under Protodriloides chaetifer. RNAcentral describes it as "partial 16S ribosomal RNA". It matches the Rfam family "Bacterial large subunit ribosomal RNA", at positions 1950 to 2524 of the family's 2925-position model. The record is from RNAcentral. Lineage: Eukaryota; Metazoa; Annelida; Polychaeta; Protodrilidae.